RNAcentral lists this ribosomal RNA (252 nucleotides) under uncultured bacterium. RNAcentral's name for it is "partial 16S ribosomal RNA". It matches the Rfam family "Bacterial small subunit ribosomal RNA", at positions 524 to 776 of the family's 1533-position model. The record is from RNAcentral.
UACGUAGGGUGCGAGCGUUAAUCGGAAUUACUGGGCGUAAAGCGUGCGCAGGCGGUUCGCCGUGUCCGAUGUGAAAGCCCCGGGCUUAACCUGGGAAUGGCAUUGGAAACUGGCGGGCUGGAGUGUGGCAGAGGGGGUGGAAUUCCACGUGUAGCAGUGAAAUGCGUAGAGAUGUGGAGGAACACCGAUGGCGAAGGCAGCCCCCUGGGCCAACACUGACGCUCAGGCACGAAAGCGUGGGGAGCAAACAGG